GGCUGCGCUCAGUGAGGAUUGAGCAGCCCUGUGGAGAGGCAGACCGGGUAAGGAACUAAGGCCACUCGCCAACAGCCAGUGCCAGUGUGCCAGGCAUGUGAGUGAGCCACCUUGACAGCAGGUCCCCCAGCCCCAGUGUCUACAGCAUCCUUCACUCUCCCCCCACCAGCUCCUAUUGGUCCUUCAGAUUGUCUCACUUCAUGUGCCACUGCUUCCAGGAAGCUUUCCUGAAUGCUCCCAACUGGAGUCAGCCUCCCUGACAGAUGGAGAAUUCCUCAAGAGCAGGACCGUGUCUGUGUUCCCAGCACCUCCCCAUGCCUGGCACUUCGAGGAUGCUCCGUUACUAUUUGUUGAGAGAAUGGAUAAUUGAAUAAAGAAUGCUACCACCUAAGCUGCAGAGCCGUUUGCUGGAAGAAGUGAGGCCAGGAACUGGAAAGCCAGAGAGUUUGGGACACCUGUGCCAGGUGUCUGUCACCGUGCAGCGAGCGUGUCUGAGCACCUGGCAGCUUCCCUCCUUCCCCAGCCGGUCACUCACGGCCCACCUGCAGGACGGGUCCAGGAGCAGGCGGAGCCUCCUGGUGGCCCCACUUUUGCCUCCUCCCCUGCAGUAGAUGCUUCGUUACCAGAAGGCGAAGGUCAGAGUCUGGCCACGGGCCCAGCAUUUCUGGCCCAGUUUUGCCGCAGGAAGCCAACUGUGCAGAAGGUCAGGAUGCUGGUGGGGUCAGAGUGGGAAAGUUAACAUUCCCAAGGGCCUCUAUGCAACAGGACUUCCUGACGUGGACUAUUGCCUUUCUCACAUUACGUGGCCAGAUUGACUUCCUGCCAUUAUUAACUGUGCAAACAUGACAAAGACGUUUAUUUAAUGGGAACGGGCGAAGGACUUUGCUCGACUCUGAGCUUUGAGGAGGCGGUAGGAUCAUGGAAUUAACCACAGCUGAGAGCUGGGAUUCCAGUCCGGGCUCUACCUGCCUUUGCCAUCUGCUAGAACAUGUAACUUCAUGUCUCAACCUCAGUUUCCUUUUCUGUAACAAGUGGGGAAGAAGGGUGGUAAGAAAUGUUGAGUCAGAACUCAGAGUUGCUGGGUGGGUGAAGUGAGGUCAUUAAUGUGGGAAACGUUUUGCGAACUGGAAAGUGCCAUCUGAGUUUUCAUCAUCAGUUUUGAUCUCCUCCUCCAACAAUCUAGCAUCUCAGCCCGCUUUUCCCAGCUGAGAAGGCCUCUGUGGCUCCAGGAGAAGGUGCCCUCUCCCCAGCUGAGGCUGGCUGCUGGCAGGCAGGCCACCAGCCUUCUGCAGUCACCUCCCGCCAGCUCUGGGCCAAAGGGGCCCUGCCCCUCGGGUUCCCUCUGCGAUUUGCUUCUCUGCUGUUUCCGCUCAAGUUCCUCCUCUGCUCUCUGUCCGUGAAAACGCUCUCCCCCCUCACAAUGCCUUCUCUGAUCUGGUUUCUACAUGGCCGAGCGGGACGUUCACUGCAUCUUACAACCCACUGUUCUCCACGUGUGCUCGCGGGCCCAGCGGCAGCAGCAGCAGCCCCCUGGGAAUGUGUGGGAAAUGCACAGUCUUGGGUCCCACCCAGACCAAUGAAGCAGAAAUGAUGAGGGUGGGGCCAGCAGUCUGUGUUUUCACAGGCCCUCAGGGAUUCUGAUGUACACUCAAGGUCCAGGACCAGUAGGCUAACCUGUCUCCCCAACUGGGUGUGAGCUCCCUGCUGGCCGGGGCUGCCUCCCACUGUGGCUCCCAGAGCCUGGCACGCAGAGACCACGAGUGACCAUGAAACUGCCUCACAGACGUGCGCUGGCCUUCCUGCCGCCACACCUGGGCUCACAACAUGCCCUCAGCCCCUUCCUUCCCGCGGCCCUCCCCACAUGCUCACAAAACCUCAAGGCCAGCCGUCUCCCCUGAGUCCUGCAGCGGCCUGUUCUGCCUCAGUCUCCCUCCAUAGCCGCUGCCUGAACCUGCCAGACACCACUCUGGGCUCACCGCCUGGUCACCCCUUGGUGGGGUUGCCCUUAAACAAAAGGUCCUUUCUGCACGCAUCUUUCAUGUGACAUUUUGCACCGACUUGGUUUGUGUUUGAAGGAGCGCUGGUGCAGUAGGGGAUCAUCCUUGCAGCCACAGGGUGGAAGUCACCUGGCAGCUUCACCAGGGAAGUCAAGGUGUGUGUGUCAGUCGGCCUUUGCACCAACAUUCAUAGCAGAAGCAGUUCACACCACGUCCCCCCCUGACCUGAAGGAGAGAGAAAGGGAAGAGGCACUUGAGGUGCUCAGCGAGCUGCAAAGUUCCGUCCUCCAGCUGCUCCAAGCCCUGCGUGGGCCAUGGGGUCUGCACGGUGGGCGGGCAGGCCAUGCAGGUCUCUGCCUGACCCACACCGUGUCAGGGUUUGUUUUUACUUUCCCUGCUCUUGCUGCCACAGCCUAUGUGUCCCCAGAUUCUUCUUUUAGGCCCUGGAUGGGAGCCAGCCUCCUGCAGCUAGGCUGCCCGGGUUCGAACGCUGGCUCUGCUGCCUAGGGUAAGUUACUUGACCAUUCUGUGCCUCAGUUUCCUCAUCUGUAAAGCAGGCCUGGGUGGUAACACUUAGGUCUUAAGUUUCUUGUGCAGACAAAAUCAGAGAGGACUUGCAAAGCCUACAGAGUAGAGCUCCCACACAGGAGCCCUCCAAGCUCUUGGUCCUGAAGUGGAUACCCCUGGCCCAUGAGCCCAGUAAGGGAAGGCAAGAGCUGCCUGCAGACAGUGUGCUCGGGGCCUUGAUGGAUUCUCUGGCAGACCCCCCCAGCAGGGUGCCUCCAGGCUGGGGACCAGUGUGGUCUUCAGGAAACAAAGGCUUAAUGUAAACUGGGCUCUCCUCAGGCAGGAGUUCCCUCAACAUUCCUUGCCAGGUGUGUAGUAUGAUAAGCCCAUUUCACAGAUAAGAGCACAGAGGCACCAAGAGCUGUAUUAACUACCCAAGACGAAGCUAGUGAUUAGUAGAGCAUGAGUGAGGUCUGGGUGACCCCAAAGCCCAAGUUUUACCCCCUACCCUACCCUUCAACAUGGCAGCUACUCUCUAUUAAUCUUAUCUCCACAGCUGAGUCUGGGAACUCCUGAACAGCACAGAAGUAUCAACUAUCAGCCAGGAGCCAAUAUUCCCAGAGCAGACAGCAUAUCAGGUGCUGGUGCCUCUGUGACCUCGUUUAAUCCAGCAGGAAUCCAAUCAAUUUCCCUAUACUACAGAGGAGCAAAUCAAUUCUCAGAGAGGCUGAGUAACCUGCCCAACGUCACCCAGUUAAGAAGUGGCAGGGCUGGGGCCAGAAUCCAGGUCUGUCUGUCCCUGGGUCCCUGUUGGCCCCUUCGCAGCGUGUGAGCUUCCCAGGGCCUCAGGUAGGGAGGGGGUAGAUAGCUACCUUGAGCCAUAAAAUUCCCCUCACAACACGAUAGGUGUUAGCAAAUUUUUAAAAAUUCUUUGCCCCAGAUCAGGUCCUACAUUGGGAUGAAUCAUCUGACUCCAUAUAAAGUAACCUCAGGAUCGCUGGAUUGAUGGGGAGUGUGGGCAGAAGAGGGUUUUUUGUUGUUUUGAUCUCAACUGAAAAGCAAUUUUUAAUGUGCCAAAUGUUGCACACUCAAUCCAAUACACAGAUUUAUUACGCAGGAGGCCAAAGUGUGCUAAUCAGGAGUCAUCAUCUUGCAACAAGAAUAAAUAAGAACAAAGCCAGCAAGCGUUCCUCCCGGGAGCUAAGAAUGUCAUUGUCUAAUGUCUUGUCUUAGCCGCCUCAGCCCACAAACGGCUCCUCCUGUCUUUAGGGGACAACAAUCGCUGCGGAAUUCUGCUGAGCACAGACGGGCCGAGACACAGAGAGUGGGGUUUGUUGCUUGAAAGCAUUUUGCUUUCUGUAACCACUGUUCCCAAGAAAGAGCUGGGACUGUCUUGCCUGCCCUGUCUCUCAUUCCAGACACCUCUGGAGCAACUCAGAUCCUGAAGCCUUGGCUUGAGGGCAAGUAGAGGCAGAACGUAGGGAAGAGAGCUCCGUGCCAGGCAGAAAUCCCCCACCCUUCCUGUUUCCCGACUCUGAGCAAGCCACUCAACCACGCUCAGCCUCGGCUUCCUCUGCUGGAAAAUGGGGAGAGGAAGGGUUCAUUCAGGCGGCUGGGGGUCCAAGAUUCCUAGCCUGGUGCCUGGUGCCUGGCACAGGGUAGUGCCUGUUAUUAAGAAACUGCUGGGCUAAACCAUGGCCAGGGAGAAAGCUUGGUGGAGGUAACCGGGCACCCUCAGAUGGUAGCUCAGAAAUUGUGUUCCUCACUGAGCAGCUUUGAUCAAACCACUUCCCUUCUCAAAAGUGUUCGGUGGCUUCCUGCUCCCCUGAAUGCAAUAUGGGUCCUUUAACCUGACCACCAAGACCCUCAUUCCCCAAAAUGCCUUUUCAGCCAACUUUUCUACACUCCAAAAUGCCACUUAAUAAAUAUUUAAAGAAAGAGUGAAUACAAUGCAUCUAGCAUUGUGUGUCUAAAAAUCUCGGCCCUGGUCCCAAGAGGCGCAUAAGCUAAUUGGGAGCAAGGCCCAAGAUACCAGAAGAAAAGGGAAAUAGCCAUUUAUUUUACAUUUUAAUCAAGGGACCAACUCAGAUCCCAAAUCCUAGUCCUCAUUCUGCCCCAGAUGUCCUGAGGGCCUGCUCUGAUGUGACAUUCGGAGGAUGCCACUUAGGUUAGGGAACAAGGGGGCGCUACAAGUCAUGAACCAUAACACCCAGGCCAGGAGGGCGCUGACAGUCUAAGGGGGAAGCUGCCACCCCAGGAUACCGUAGGUGCUUCUGUUGUCUCACUCUGCACCCCACACUGUGCCACCAAGCAGGGAGAAGGUCAAUAUGAUGCGUUUUGUAGUUUUCUAUGGAGACAACAGCUGACUGCCAACCAGAAUGAUGACAUAAGGAAUCAGCCUUCACUGGUGAAAGGAAAGGUGUUCAAGACUUGCAGACAAUGCAGCAAAUUGGCUGCAUUACUUAGAAACACUCCCCAGGCUGCAUGAACACAGUGUAAGGGCCCAGUGAGGCCUGGAGGCCAGGCCUGCGGUGUUGCUGCCGAGGCUUGAUCCACCCCCCGACCCCCUAGUCUUCCAUGCAGUUGUCCACCUGUGGGGAGGACUUCAGUUGCCUGAUUACAAGGACUUUGAGGACGACGGGAUCCUGCCCAGGAGUACUGUGACCACUGCAGGAGCUCCUCAAAGGGCAGGGAGCCGAGACGCCCUGGUGAUACGCAAGAGUUUGUGCAGACACGGGGGCACCUGGAGAAUGGCAGCUUGGAUUUACAUGUCUCUCUGGGGCAGAAUUUGCAUGGAGACUUGCUUGCAUCAUAACCUGGUCGUGGGGUUGUGGGGAAGGAGUUAACCAGCCCUGACCCCAAACUUCUGCAGGGACUACUCUCAUCCACCCAAACCCGGGAGCCGUGCGUGGCCGCAUGGUCUUCGGUCAGUCCACUCCCUCAGGGCCCUCUGGUCACACUCCUCUGCAGGGCCUUUACUGUGGGCCGCUCUGUCCAGACCCCGCGCUUUCUCCAUGGAAGUGGCAGAUGUGGAUACCUCCAUGGUAUUUGGACACAAGAAAGGCCGCAUUCAUUUAUCCAACUGCAAUUAAAUCUGUUUCAAGACACCCUACUCACAAAACUGGGCAGAAAUUGCAAUAUCAUUCCAAGUCAUCUGUUGGUCCCUCCCUGAGCCCUACUGGCAUAUUAGGGGGCUUUGGAGGUGCUCCCAGGAAGCCACAGUCAGUGGUGCUUUUUUCUGCAUGGUGGGCAGUGGUGCCCACCCCGGGCAGCUGUGGCAGGCAUGCCGGGGAGGUCAACCAGCCCAGCUUGCUGCCCAGCUCAGCACUGCCCCUCCUCCUAUGGAGGGCGUCUCCUGCUGGUGGCCACACUUCUUCCGAGCAGUCAGCCAGAGGGACCUCAGGCUGGGGGGCCUCCAUGCUUGUGCCCAGAAGUCCCAGGCCCCAGGCAGCCAUCUCCACAAGUAGGGCCACCUGAGUGUUUCUGCAUUUGCCAGACCUAUGGAGUCCUAGGGCUCACUCUGUUUUUGUCCUCAUCAGCCACCUGCAACAGGGCCACAACCCU
Equus caballus (horse) is the source of this 6068-nucleotide long non-coding RNA. NCBI's taxonomy places the organism in Eukaryota, Metazoa, Chordata, Mammalia, Perissodactyla, Equidae. The record is from Ensembl.